CUUCAGUGAUGAUUCGAUGACGAGUCGGAAAUGGACUCUGUCUCUACUGUGGUGUCUGGCUUAGGGUCACGUUUUGUGCCUUUGAGUCUAGUCCUCAGUGGAAAGGUGUUCUGCUCAGUUGAAGACAUAGAGGCAUUUGUCUGAGAAGG
Molecule: small nucleolar RNA, 149 nt
Organism: Clupea harengus (Atlantic herring)
Lineage: Eukaryota; Metazoa; Chordata; Actinopteri; Clupeiformes; Clupeidae
Source: RefSeq, a predicted model, not a curated record